ACCAUCUCUACCAAAGCUCCGAUCACUUCUCUCUCUCAUCUAUAGAAGGACGACGGUGGUUUUGCGGUGGCGACGCUGCGACAAUGGACAAUGGUGCUAGGUUCACUCAAGCGAACGAUGACGGCAGUACUAGCGGCUAGGGUUCAGAUUUGUUACCGGUAACUAGGGUUUCUACCAGGUCUAGGGUUGACUCCAUCGUUGAUUGAGGUAAGAUAAGAUUGUUUUGAUCAUUUCAUUUGGUUGUAUAGUUACUUUCCAACCCACCAUGUUAUUCAUCUGUAACUCUGACGAGAGGAAGAAGAAGAGUGUGAGGAAAGCGGAGAUGGUAGUUUGGAGGAGCUGUAUAGAGGAUCAAAGAGGAAAAUGCAGCUUUGGAGAAUUGUGUUUUUGAUGAUACGGAGGAGGAGGAUUUUCAAUGCUCUUAACUUCUUAAGGUAAAUAACCAUCAAGAAAAUGUUAGAUAUGGGACGAGCUUCGGUAUGUUAAUAUGUACGGCUAGACCAGUUGGACCAGAUGCUUAACGAAGAUGGGAUAACCGAUUGUGUCACGAAGAUACAUUAGCAUAGGUAUGGCGCAUUAGGUUUAGUCUUUUAGCAUAGAAAAAAUUGUUACAAUUGUAGUUUUUGUGAAGUGUUGUAAUAGCAAUUAGUAUUUAAAUGUGUUCACGAAGGAAAAUUGGCCGGCGAUAUUGUGGCAGUUAU
RNAcentral lists this long non-coding RNA (701 nucleotides) under Helianthus annuus (common sunflower). Lineage: Eukaryota; Viridiplantae; Streptophyta; Magnoliopsida; Asterales; Asteraceae. The record is from RNAcentral.